CUGAUGCCCACAAAGGGAGGGUGAGAACCCUCGCCGGGUUCGAGCAGAGCAGCUUGCUGCGAUGAACGGCCGCAGGCCACCCCAAAGGGGUGAGCUACACAGUGGUGAAGCAUCCCACCCAAUCUAAAA
This 129-nucleotide small RNA is filed under the name Aeromonas hydrophila. RNAcentral describes it as "RtT sRNA". It matches the Rfam family "RtT RNA". From Rfam's summary of the family: This family represents a bacterial cis-regulatory element known as RtT RNA. The exact function of RtT is unknown although it is thought that it may be involved in changing the cellular response in relation to amino acid starvation. The record is from RNAcentral. Lineage: Bacteria; Pseudomonadati; Pseudomonadota; Gammaproteobacteria; Aeromonadales; Aeromonadaceae.